GCCUUAAUAGCUCAUAUUCAGAGCACGGCACUGAAGAUGCUGGGGAAAUAUUUUAUGUUUUGAGGUA
This 67-nucleotide transfer RNA is filed under the name Pseudocleopatra dartevellei. RNAcentral's name for it is "tRNA-Phe". The record is from RNAcentral. Lineage: Eukaryota; Metazoa; Mollusca; Gastropoda; Paludomidae.